Pyrus x bretschneideri (Chinese white pear) is the source of this 2211-nucleotide long non-coding RNA. RefSeq lists it as uncharacterized. Lineage: Eukaryota; Viridiplantae; Streptophyta; Magnoliopsida; Rosales; Rosaceae. The record is from RefSeq and is a predicted model, not a curated record. The transcript is spliced from 6 exons.
UGAUGCUGAAAUUUGAAAUCAAAACGCCCCUGCUGCUUCCCAGUUUCUCUUCCGUGAGUCCCAUUGAAAAACAAUGGCUUUCGAUUACGCAUUCACCGGAGACGAAAUGGAAAUUGACGAUGGCCUCAGGUGCCUGAAAUACUACGGCGAAGCUCUGCCGGGAUCGUAGCGGCGGACCGUACAGCCAUGGCCCUCCUUUCAUUUUCAUGCCUUACUGUCUGCAGCAACAAGAGUAUCUGGGAGCUAGAGAUUUAGAGCAGAUGUUUCCUAUUUAUCGACCCGAAAGAGAAACCUACAGCCAGGCCAAAGAUUUUUGUUAGUCUUUUGUGGAAGCAGCUCAGCCACCAUGGGGGGAGGAUCACUGUCCCAAGCAAUUUGAGGAUACUACAAUGGCAGGCCUGCAAGAGGAAGCAUAACAUGCUUGAGUUUCACAUUCCACGGUGGGAUUUUCAGUUGGGUAUAUCCGUGAACCAGUUUUUAUCGAUGUUCGCUUCUGCCAACUCCGAUUUCAGGCACAGAGCAUUCUCGUUUCUUUUCUCUAAUGUGAGGAACUCAAUUCUUCAGACUGUAGACUCACAUACUUUUCCGCAACAUUAUGUGGAAUCGAAAGAGCAUUUGGGCCUAGCUCCGGCUGCCAUUGUUGUAUCUCGACGGGAGUCAUAUGUUUCAUCUGCUUUGAAAUCCCUGGACUGCAAUAAGCAGAUAAGGCCAGAAUCUUCUGCAAUUGGUUAGCUGCAAGAAAAGGGAAACAUGCUGUUUUGAAAGAAAAUGAGAACCCGGACUUCGUUAGAAACAUUGUCAUGGCAAGAUAUUCCCUGAAACAAAGAAAACAAACUGCAAAGACGCAAGCAGAGAUACAAACGUUGGAUGAUGAAGUGAAUCAACUGAGGCGAAAAAAUGAAGAUGAGAAGCUCACCAUUCAAAACUUGGAACUGACAUUGAUAAGGCGAAGGAGGAGAGCAGAAACGUGCCGGCGGCUAGCAGAGGCACAGUCAUCGUAUAGAACUAUGCUCGAAAAGAUGAUUUGAGAUGUAUGCACCAGUUAGUCAUUUAUAAAGAGCAAUUGAGGCUGAACCAGGCCAUAAGUACUGCACUCAUGGAAAGACUUGAGGCACAAAAGGCAAUCUGUGAUGCAUGGAGAAAGAACUACAUAAGAAAUACAAAUAAAGAGAUAGAGCUUGAGACACAGAAAAGGCCUGAAUGGGAACAAGCAAGGAAAAGAUCGAGGACAGAUGAUGCACUAACUGAGGAGAAAGACAGCAAGAUGGUUCUUUAUCCACCAGCAAUCAAGCCAAGAACGCCUUUACAUAAGGCCAAAAAACGAUUGUCUAUUGACAAUCACAGGGAGAAUUGAACUAUCUGAGGAACUGGAAAGACCAAAAAACGAUUGUCUAUUGACAACCACAGGGAGCAGGCCAGAUACAGUGUUGCAUUAGAGGAUGAGAUCUUGUUAGAGAAUCAAAUGCAGAGACUGGAAAUAGAAGGAAGCACAAAUUUCAGUUUCCUGCCAUUCGAGAGCCAGAGAUUGUGGAAGAUGAAGAGAGCAGAAAAGAACGUGGCUAGGGGAAUGUAGAGAAUUGGCUUCAGAUUCUGUUGGACAGUUCUCCACAGGAGUUGGAUCCUCAGAACGAAAGUGCAAAUGAAAAGCACAGGACCGGUGAUAUAAUCAGUCAAACUGAAGAAAGUGCAAAUGAAAAACACAGGACCAGUGAUAUAAUCAGUCAAAUGAAUUUGGAGUACCCACAGGAGAUCAAGAAUGUGAAGUGUCCACAGGCUGAGGCUAAAGAAGGUGUGCCGAAGCAGCAGUUAAUUGUCCAAGAGAAGGAUGACAAUGCACAUCAAGUGCGUACUCAUGUUAAGUCCCUUAAGGGAGUUGUUAUCAGGAAGAGUUUUGAAGGGAGGGACCAGAGUAACGGAAAGGGAAAAAAACUUACAAAGUCUGAGAGUGCCAGAGCCUUUCGACGAAUUCCAUCUUCUCCAUCUAUAAUACUGGGCAUGAAAAAGGGUGUUGACUGCAUACAGAAGAAGCGCAUGGUAACCAGUGAUGAUGACAAAAGCUAUGCAGCGGGAAACAGUUUUAUGAAGUCAUCCAUAAAGACAAUCAAGAAAACGAGGGAUUUUUCGGUGUACCCGGCACACCAAAAAAAUUUGGUGUACCCUCACUCAUAAUGGUGAGGGUGCACCAAAAAAAUUUGGUGCACCCUCACUUUU